GCUAUCAACCUGCAUGUUGCAUAAUUACACGGUGAUACAUACAAUUUCCAGAGGCAUACAGGAACAGGAGCAUAAAGUCAGGGUACGGUGGGACCAUAGAAAUAGAUAGAUAACCUAGAAUGCUGAUUCGCCCAUCUCCCUGUACUUAACAAAUGACGCCAGAGCAAGCGAUGACAGCGCCCUCACAGUGCGGGAGGCUAUUGUAAAUCACAGCAUGGCGGUCUAUGGCAAAUUUCUCGUUUCUGGUAUUAAAAUUAGUUUUAUAAACACAAAACGAUGUACAUAAGCGAAAAGAAACAAAUUUUGUGUAUAUGAAUAGUCGGUAUGAAGUAAUUCGGAGGUAUUAUAUGAACAACUACGACUGCGAGGAAGAAAUGUCGAUAGCAAAGUGGAGCUGAAACGUUUGCUGUAUGACUAGGCUCUAGCCCGCCGAGGCUGUGCGGUACUGUGCGACUGAUCUGAUCUACAGUCUGUCUAUACGGUCUUCUGACCCUAGCAAGACCGUUUCUUGGAGCUAUAUAAUUUUAUGAUAAUCAUCGCUUGGCUAAGUUCUGAGAACCUUGUACUGACCGAAAAGAUUCCGCAUCAACUUCAACAUGCGGCACACAUCAAAGAUGAGAGAGACGCUGGUUCUGUCACAUGGAUGAGGGAAAGUGCUUCUCAACCUGUCUGGAUCUGUGGAUGCUCUUAACAUUUUUGCAGUUGUCUGGUUCACCUGCGAUCCAUCGGAUGUCAAUGCAAUCGCCAUCACGUCAAUACCAUGGAGCUUUUCCAUACAUUGCUUUAUCAGGACAGCUUGGGUGACACCGUUUAAACUGCCGUGGCUAAGGAAAUAACCAAGAGGAACUUUCCAAUGUCUAUUUACACCGACAGCCAUUGUAACCAAUACCGUCGGGAAAGACGUGUUGCUACGUGGAGCGUGUGUCGCCAUAGUGAGACAACGAGAGGUGUCCGGCGUGUGUCGUCAGGAGAGACGUGUUGCUACGUGGAGCGUGUCGCCGUAGCGAGAAGACGAGAGGUGUCGGGCGUGUGUCGGCGGGAGACAUUUUUGUCAUAUUUUAUAUGAUAGAUAAAAUAAACUCAGAAAAGCCAGAGCUCUAUAUUUUCUUCACACUCCUCAGAUAGUAUAUUUGUUUUUUUAGGCUUGUGAGCAGUUCUUUGACUAGUGAUCUGAGAUUGCUUUCACUGUACUUUGCAGCAUUGCAGUUUAAGCUUCUUCUAUAAUGAACUGAUCUUUGUGUUU
This is a long non-coding RNA of Priapulus caudatus, 1243 nucleotides long. RefSeq lists it as uncharacterized. The record is from RefSeq and is a predicted model, not a curated record. Lineage: Eukaryota; Metazoa; Priapulida; Priapulimorpha; Priapulimorphida; Priapulidae. The transcript is spliced from 2 exons.